CCUCUCAGCCCCCGCGAGCGGUGGUUCUUUUCUCGCGGCGUCUCCGCUGCCGCCCAGCCCCGGGGUGUUGGGCGUUUCACCGACGGGUGCGGGAGGAGCGCAGCGGACGGAGCUCGGUGACUUUCAUGGGUCUGUGCACUGACUUCAGGCUGUACAGGUAAGAGGUCAGAGUCUGGACAAGUCACUGAAGAAGAUGCAGGCACAGUGAGAACUUCAGAAAAAUGAGCCAUGCAUCCUACUGAAAGCUGAGAAGUAGCCCUCUGUUAGGGUCAUGAACGUACGACAAGUCUUUGUGUCGCUACUGAUGUUUGGAGUAGCUGGUCUACUCCUCUUCAUGUAUCUGCAGGCC
This 349-nucleotide long non-coding RNA is filed under the name Gallus gallus (chicken). Its description in RNAcentral is "long non-coding RNA NONGGAT004341". The record is from RNAcentral. Lineage: Eukaryota; Metazoa; Chordata; Aves; Galliformes; Phasianidae.